Molecule: ribosomal RNA, 253 nt
Filed under: uncultured bacterium
Lineage: Bacteria
Description: partial 16S ribosomal RNA
Rfam family: Bacterial small subunit ribosomal RNA
Source: RNAcentral
GACGAACCGUCCAAACGUUAUUUGGUAUCACUGGGCUUAAAGCGUGCGUAGGCGGCUUGAUAGGUGAGAUGUGAAAGCCCACGGCCCAACCGUGGAAUUGCGUUUCAAACCAUCGGGCUUGAGGAAGAUAGGGGUGAUGGGAACUUAUGGUGGAGCGGUGAAAUGCGUUGAUAUCAUAGGGAACACCGGUGGCGAAAGCGAAUCACUGGAUCUUUACUGACGCUGAGGCACGAAAGCUAGGGUAGCGAACGGG